Molecule: unclassified non-coding RNA, 702 nt
Filed under: Fraxinus griffithii
Lineage: Eukaryota; Viridiplantae; Streptophyta; Magnoliopsida; Lamiales; Oleaceae
Description: partial contains small subunit ribosomal RNA, internal transcribed spacer 1, 5.8S ribosomal RNA, and internal transcribed spacer 2
Rfam family: 5.8S ribosomal RNA (bases 310-465)
Source: RNAcentral
GUAACAAGGUUUCCGUAGGUGAACCUGCGGAAGGAUCAUUGUCGAGACCCGAAAAAGGCAGACCCGCGAACCCGUUUCGAACUCGUGCGGGGGGACGUCGCGCCCGCGGCCCGACCCGAUCGGGUCGCCGCGCGUCGGAUCCCCGUCCCGCCGUCGUCGGCGCGCGCGCGAGCGCCCGCCGUCGUCGGCCUAACAGAACCCCGGCGCGAAAAGCGUCAAGGAACACUCGAAAACGCCGCCCGCCCCUCGGCGCCCCCGUUCGCGGAGCGAGCGUCGAAGGGGGGACCGGACGCGCGUCGAAUUCAGAACGACUCUCGGCAACGGAUAUCUCGGCUCUCGCAUCGAUGAAGAACGCAGCAAAAUGCGAUACUUGGUGUGAAUUGCAGAAUCCCGUGAACCAUCGAGUUUUUGAACGCAAGUUGCGCCCGAAGCCAUUACGCCGAGGGCACGUCUGCCUGGGCGUCACGCACAUCGUCGCCCCCCGCCCCCGGAUCCCACAGAGGGACCGCGGGCGACGGGACGGAGAAUGGCCCCCCGUGCGCCUCGGCGCGCGGCCGGCCCAAAUGCGAUUCGGCACCGACGCGUGCCGCGACGAUUGGUGGUCGGUCGAAGAACUCGACUCGCGCGCUGUCGCGGCGCCGUUCGGCCCGAACGUGCCGACCCCGACGGUGCUCCGCACCUCGACGGCGACCCCAGGUCAGG